This 506-nucleotide ribosomal RNA is filed under the name uncultured bacterium. RNAcentral describes it as "partial 16S ribosomal RNA". It matches the Rfam family "Bacterial small subunit ribosomal RNA", at positions 29 to 523 of the family's 1533-position model. The record is from RNAcentral.
AGUGAACGCUGGCGGUAGGCCUAACACAUGCAAGUCGAACGGCAGCACAGGAGAGCUUGCUCUCUGGGUGGCGAGUGGCGGACGGGUGAGGAAUACAUCGGAAUCUACUCUGUCGUGGGGGAUAACGUAGGGAAACUUACGCUAAUACCGCAUACGACCUACGGGUGAAAGCAGGGGACCUUCGGGCCUUGCCCGAUUGAAUGAGCCGACGUCGGAUGAGCUAGUUGGCGGGGUAAAGGCCCACCAAGGCGACGAUCCGUAGCUGGUCUGAGAGGAUGAUCAGCCACACUGGAACUGAGACACGGUCCAGACUCCUACGGGAGGCAGCAGUGGGGAAUAUUGGACAAUGGGCGCAAGCCUGAUCCAGCCAUACCGCGUGGGUGAAGAAGGCCUUCGGGUUGUAAAGCCCUUUUGUUGGGAAAGAAAUCCAGCUGGCUAAUACCCGGUUGGGAUGACGGUACCCAAAGAAUAAGCACCGGCUAACUUCGUGCCAGCAGCCGCCGUAA